RNAcentral lists this long non-coding RNA (740 nucleotides) under Erythranthe guttata (spotted monkey flower). RNAcentral describes it as "long non-coding RNA (EGUT_LNC002500)". The record is from RNAcentral. Lineage: Eukaryota; Viridiplantae; Streptophyta; Magnoliopsida; Lamiales; Phrymaceae.
CACCUCCACCUCCUUCCCCACCACCUCCACCUCCACUUCCACGUUUAUGUUUAGUAUUUCCAAGAUUAUGUUCACCCCCACCACCACCACCACCCCCCUCCCCUCCUCCGCCACCACCUUCUCCACCUCCGCCUCCUUCCCCACCACCUCCACCUCCGUCACCACCGCCACCUCCACGUAUAUGCUUAGUAUUUCCAAGAUUAUGUUCACCACCACCACCACCAAUUGUCCGAUCACCUUAAACAAUUGACCAUUGACAUACUGAAAAAAAUGUCAUAUUUUCUUUCCAUCGUCUCUUAAACCUCUCCAUUUCCGUAUAUAUAUAUAUAUCAUCAAUAAACAACCAAAGUGCAUAAUUACCGUCUUCAAUCGUCUCUACUAGACAAAUAAAAAACGGUAGUUUUCGUUUACGUUUUCAAGAAUAAGACCAUUUAGUAAUCUUUCUUCUAUAGAGAAAUUACUUAGUAAUAAGAUUGAUCGAGGCCUCGUACUUCGGUCCACAUGCCUAACAACAUAUAGUUAAUGUUUGAGGAAGUUUGGCAUAUGAUUGAUGUAUUUGUAUGUUUCAUAUAAUUAUUAAAUACAUUGUAUUAAAGUCAUGAGAAUCAACAAGAUAUAUAUCGUUUUCUUCUUGUGCUAAUGCUAUACUAUUUUGAUUUGAAAUUCAAGACAAAUGGAUGUGGAAUUUCAGUAAUAACAAUUGGAACUAGACAUUCCUUAUUGAGACAUUUGAACAAUUA